CAGCCGCCGCGGUAAUACGAAGGGUGCAAGCGUUACUCGGAAUUACUGGGCGUAAAGCGCACGUAGGCGGCUUGGUAAGUUAGAGGUGAAAGCCCGGAGCUCAACUCCGGAAUUGCCUUUAAGACUGCCGAGCUAGCAGGUGAGAGAGGUAAGUGGAAUUCCGAGUGUAGAGGUGAAAUUCGUAGAUAUUCGGAAGAACACCAGUGGCGAAGGCGGCUUACUGGCUCAUACUGGACGCUGAGGUGCGAAAGCGUGGGGAGCAAACAGGAUUAGAUACCCCAGUAGUCCCUGUCUCUUAUAC
Molecule: ribosomal RNA, 301 nt
Filed under: uncultured bacterium
Lineage: Bacteria
Description: partial 16S ribosomal RNA
Rfam family: Bacterial small subunit ribosomal RNA
Source: RNAcentral